RNAcentral lists this ribosomal RNA (255 nucleotides) under uncultured bacterium. Its description in RNAcentral is "partial 16S ribosomal RNA". It matches the Rfam family "Bacterial small subunit ribosomal RNA", at positions 524 to 776 of the family's 1533-position model. The record is from RNAcentral.
CACGUAGGGUGCGAGCGUUUGUCCGGAUUUAUUGGGCGUAAAGAGCUCGUAGGCGGCUUGUUGCGUCGACCGUGAAAACCCGGGGCUCAACUUCGGGCUUGCGGUCGAUACGGGCGGGCUAGAGUUCGGUAGGGGAGACUGGAAUUCCUGGUGUAGCGGUGAAAUGCGCAGAUAUCAGGAGGAACACCGGUGGCGAAGGCGGAUCUCUGGGCCAUUGACUGACGCUGAGGAGCGAAAGCGUGGGGAGCGAACAGG